Oncorhynchus tshawytscha (Chinook salmon) is the source of this 446-nucleotide long non-coding RNA. Lineage: Eukaryota; Metazoa; Chordata; Actinopteri; Salmoniformes; Salmonidae. The record is from Ensembl.
AGAGAGUAGAGAGGUAGGGCGCGCUGGAGGACGGCGCUAAGAGUUUAAAAUCUAAUCAUAGACCUGUCAACAUGUAUUAAUGUGAGUGGAUGGGAGCUGAAGGAAAAUCAAAAUGCAGACAAGAGAAAAGAAUGGUGUCUCCAGUGUCGGGGAGAUAUACUGUAGGAGGCAACACUAGCCAGAGGUGGGCCACAAUAGUUUUUUCCUUUAAGGAGAGUGAUGCUGAAUGAAAAUAUGGCUCAACUUACCCAACUCUAACCUACUCCCAUGUCUGAAUCAGUCAGAAAGAGAAGAAACCAGAAAUGUUUUGUUUCUCCAGGAGUGUAAUUGAACAGUCCUGAUCUACAACAAGGAUGAUGGUUGCAGUCUAGCCUGAAGAGGGCAGCAUUUCCCUACAGAAAGGACAACUAUCAGCAAGGACAUACAAGUGCAAAACUGUAAUGCUG